AUGUCAAAGGUAGAGGCUUGUGUUGAGACAGCCAAGUCAAUGGUCAUUGUUAAAGAGAUCGACGGUACUGAAUAUUGCAGUGGAUUUAUUGCAAUCACUGAAGCGAGACAGGGUACCUAUGUUGUUACCGAUGCUGAAUUUGUCAUGGACCGUAAGGACAAUUUGAUGGUUUUCUUUUCUGACAAUACUGAGCUGCCAGCCUCCUUUAUUGAGACAUACGGGCCUUUUUGUUUCCUGAAAACAAAGUUUCAUCCAGCGUGUGAGCAAAUUGAGUUGAUGGAAGCGAAUAUUACCCCCUCACCUGUGAUCAUCUUCCCUCCUUCCUCGUCAGCUAGUUUCUAUUAUCUUCCGAGUUUUGUUAUUUUGGAAUCCACAGAGUCAUAUUAUGGCAAUUUCAAAUGUGCUCGCAUUGGUGCCACUGAUCAGAUUCCUGGUUCAGGAACCUAUUUCGUGGUAAAUUGUCACUACAGCGAGAAUACCUCUGAUGGCCAUGACAGAUUAUCUACUUGUCCAGUAUAUACCUUGAGCGGAAGUGUUAUGGGCAUAAUCCUGUCAUCCGAUCCUAAGUUUACUUGGGAGAAGCUAGCAUUCUCUGCAAAGUGUGUCUCGAACUUGAUAAACUUACUCAGGACACUAUUACCUCGAAACAAGAAACAUAGAGAUGGAUAUGGCAGUUCUGGAACCAAGAAAAAGAGAGAUGGAGAUGGCAGUUCUAGAACAAAGAAAAAGAGAGAUGAAGAUGGCAGUUCUGGAAACAAGAAAAAGAGAGAUCGGGAUAGCAGUUCUCGAACCAAGAAAAAGAGGGAUGGAGAUGGCAGUUCUGAAAACAAGAAAAAGAGAGAUGGGGAUGGCAGUUCUAUGCAUGAGUCUGCUGAAAACAAGAGAAGCAAGGGUGGUGAUGGCAGUUCCAAGAAGUUGGCUGGAAAUAAGAGUAGCUCUAAUAGUAUUUCCAAGGGCAUGGAGAAUAAGGGGCCUGGCCACAAGUGCAGUUCCAAGGGCAAAAUGGGUGGAUGUGAGAUCAGUUCCAAGGUCAAGGAGUCUACUGCAAACAAGACCACGGCUGGAGACAAGGGCAAGGGGUUGGCUGCUAGCAAACGAUGA
This 1101-nucleotide ribosomal RNA is filed under the name Triticum aestivum (bread wheat). RNAcentral's name for it is "partial small subunit ribosomal RNA". The record is from RNAcentral. Lineage: Eukaryota; Viridiplantae; Streptophyta; Magnoliopsida; Poales; Poaceae.